GGUUAGGAUUAAUCAAAACAAAAUAAUAGAAUAUAUAACACUAAUGUCAAAUAUUAGAUCCAAAUCAAUAUAUAAGAAUUAACCAAAGCAAUUAUCAAAAUCAAGAUAAAAAUUCUAAAAUCAAUCAAUAUCAAAGUGAAUAUCAAAUUAAAAUUCUAAAGUCAAACAAUAUUAAAGUUAAUAUCAAGUUAAUUCUAAAAUCAAAAUAAUAAUCAAAAUUAAAAUCCAAUCAAAAUUCUAAUAUCAAAACAAAUAUCAAUCAAGGCUAUGAAUCCAAAAAAACAAUGGAGAUUGGGUCUAAUCCAAUCCUAAGCCUAAGCAGAGGGGUGUACUGCAUUAGAGGGAGUGUGGUAAUAGACGCUGAAGGAUCGGACCUAAGGUCUAAUCAAUCCAAUACAGCAGCAACGGGAUGUACAUCCCUCAAGUUCAUCUUCCGGUGAGUGACUCCCAUUCGAAAGAAACGCGACACACACCUAAACGACUCCGUCGUGCCGGAGCUUAUCGCCGGCGACGGUGAAGCUCCUGAACGCCUCAUGCUCACCUCGUCACUACCGUCUCAAACUCUCAAUUCCAAAUCCUCAGACAAUAUCUCCUAAUUCCUCCCUAAACAUACGAACCGAAUCGAAAUCUCUCACGAGUCUCAAACAAAAAUUCACAAUCCGAUCCUCAUAUAAAGGUAAUAGAGUCUACAAGUUUGGUAUCAUCGCUCAUCUAAUCAAGUCCUAUAUAACGGUAACAAAUGCGAGUCAAAAAUAGGAGAGUUUAUAUGCACCUUCGACGUCGACGAUGAAGCACAGGGCGAACGGUGUUUGGAUAUUGUUCUGGUACGGAAUACUCGCUGCUCUUCUCUCCUAUUAUUCUUCCGCUUCAAUCUUCUUCGUUGCUUUUUUGCACUUAGGAUUUUGAUGCUCACGUGUUCCGAAUCAUCCGUGUGAUUGGUGAAAUCACGAAGCUUACUGAUGUAAUGUACGCCUCAGAAUGAACCUUGAAUUUCGAUAUGGAUAAAAGUAGCCAACAGACUCGUCGGAGAAGACGAUGGACGCAACGAUGGCGUCAACAAACGCGGCUCUCAGUGAGCUCUUGAGAUCGAAGGCGAGUGAAAUGCAAAAAAAGGUUGGGUGAUUUUGGUCUGAGUCUGAGAAGAACCGAGAGACUCAAUCUCCGACGACUAAUGGGCUUUAUAGGCUUGAAGCUCUUAACAGAGUUUAACUCUGUUAGAUUCACAGGGUUCAAGUUGGUUAGAGGUUACACAUCCGUUAGCUAGUCUGUUAAAUGGAAUUUGAAAUUGAAAAACAAUUAACUAGUUUUAACUUUGGUUAUUGGUAGGUUGUGGUGAACUGGUUCUGAUAGUAAUUUGAGGUAAUUAUUUGGAAUGCGAUUGUUAUUAUGUUGCUUUUUUGUUUUCAUUUCCGUUGCAUUUUGCUUAUGCGUUUCGCUUAUGAUGCUUGUGCGUUUGGAUUGCUGUUUCGCAACUCACGCUUUGCAGCUUGCUGCGUUUUGGUACUUGAUGCGUUUGGCUCGGCUUAAUGCAUUUGGAUGCAGUUGCUGUUUUGUUGUAGUUUUCAUGUAGUUCAUUUGGCUUGCUUUUUGCAACUUUUGCAAUGCCGUUUUGAUGCUGCUGCGGUUUACUGCUAUGCUUGUACUCUCGUUCACUGUUGCACCUGCUAUGGAUUCAUCACCUGAUUUAUUUUUA
Lathyrus oleraceus (garden pea) is the source of this 1693-nucleotide long non-coding RNA. RefSeq lists it as uncharacterized. The transcript is spliced from 2 exons. The record is from RefSeq and is a predicted model, not a curated record. NCBI's taxonomy places the organism in Eukaryota, Viridiplantae, Streptophyta, Magnoliopsida, Fabales, Fabaceae.